AGAUUGAACGCUGGCGGCAGGCCUAACACAUGCAAGUCGAGCGGCAGCACGGGUACUUGUACCUGGUGGCGAGCGGCGGACGGGUGAGUAAUGCCUAGGAAUCUGCCUGAUAGUGGGGGAUAACGCUCGGAAACGGACGCUAAUACCGCAUACGUCCUACGGGAGAAGGCAGGGGACCUUCGGGCCUUGCGCUAUCAGAUGAGCCUAGGUCGGAUUAGCUAGUUGGUGGGUAAUGGCUCACCAAGGCGACGAUCCGUAACUGGUCUGAGAGGAUGAUCAGUCACACUGGAACUGAGACACGGUCCAGACUCCUACGGGAGCAGCAGUGGGAAUAUUGGACAAUGGGCGAAAGCCUGAUCCAACCAUGCCGCGUGUGUGAAGAAGGUCUUCGGAUUGUAAAGCAACUUUAAGUUGGGAGGAAGGCAAGUUACCUAAUACGUAUCUGUUUUGACGUUACCGACAGAAUAAGCACCGCUAACUCUGUGCCAGCACG
RNAcentral lists this ribosomal RNA (493 nucleotides) under uncultured soil bacterium. RNAcentral describes it as "bacterial SSU rRNA". It matches the Rfam family "Bacterial small subunit ribosomal RNA", at positions 26 to 515 of the family's 1533-position model. The record is from RNAcentral.